Molecule: long non-coding RNA, 932 nt
Organism: Hirundo rustica (Barn swallow)
Lineage: Eukaryota; Metazoa; Chordata; Aves; Passeriformes; Hirundinidae
Exons: 3
Source: RefSeq, a predicted model, not a curated record
GGCCCGGGCCGUUGGAGGUCAGGCUGCUAUUGGCUGCUUGGCCGGGUGGCAGCUGGCUCGGCCAAUGAGGAUUGACUGCACCGCCCCUGCCGUCUCACCGGUACCGGGAGAAGAGGGCCUCGUAAAUUGGGCUGUUGCUAAUGCCCUUCGGCUGUGUGUUGCUUCCCUGACUCCCACUGCGAUAGAGACAUGCAUUCAUGCAUGGAAAUCCAGGGCCGCCGUCCUUAAACACAUACACAAAAUAUUUUUUUCUUUCGUUCCCUACUAAUGAAAGGAUCUGUUUCCUGGUCAGCAUCAUGCUACAGGCCAAAUGUGCUGAAAUAAUGAGGGAUGAUAUUUGGCAUAAUGAGGGGAUGGUAUUCAAACCUGAACAUUUACAAGAACAUUGCAUGACAGUUCCAGCCCAAAUUUGCCAAACCAACAAGCAUUUGUCUCAAGUUCUAAAAAACAUGCAAAAUACUGAUGGUUUCCUGAGGAGGAAGGAAGAUUUGAUGUAGGUGGUAUUGAGAAAUAUAACUGCUUUUGAAAAAAAUGGGAUUCCACGGAACAUACGGAAAUGGGGACUGAGUAAAUGUUGCAUUUACUAACAAUAGUCCUAUUUGGUAAUGACAUAUUCUUUCCAGAAGAGUGGCAAAAUUAAACUGGAUGAAACACUGAGGAAAAUAUCAGAGGAAACAAUAAUGUAUUAGCAAAAAGGACAAGAUGAUCUACCCAGCGGACACUUCCAAUUGUUACGAUUCAAAUUAGAGCCUGCUGUAACUGAGAAUGUCUGGAGUCAUUGUGUUCCUUUAAAAGAAGCAUAGAUGCUGCUAAUUAUGAGAAUUGUCAAGAAAUACUACAUUCACUGAAAAUCUUGGACUUUUCUUUUUUGAUGUUUUUGAAGGGUAAUGCAGAUGUUUCUCCAUUCAAAGCUUCAUUUAUUUUCAUGUGAA